GAGCUCGCUCGGCAGCACAUAUACUAAGACUGGAACGAUACAGAGAAGAUUAGCAUGGCCCCUGCGCAAGGACGAUACGCACAUUCAUGAAGCAUUCCAUAUUAAA
Small nuclear RNA from Ursus americanus (American black bear), 106 nucleotides. The record is from Ensembl. NCBI's taxonomy places the organism in Eukaryota, Metazoa, Chordata, Mammalia, Carnivora, Ursidae.